Molecule: ribosomal RNA, 484 nt
Filed under: uncultured bacterium
Lineage: Bacteria
Description: bacterial SSU rRNA
Rfam family: Bacterial small subunit ribosomal RNA
Source: RNAcentral
GAUUCUGGCUCAGGACGAACGCUGGCGGCAUGCUUCAUACAUGCAAGUCGAACGAUAAGGUCUCUUCGGAGAUACAUAAGUGGCGGACGGGUGAGUAAUAUGUAGGAAAUCUGCCCUAGAGAGGGGGACAACAGAGGGAAACUUCUGCUAAUACCCCAUAUGAGCGUAGUUGAAAUACUAUUCUUGAAAACUCCGGUGCUCUAGGAUGAGCCUGCAUCUGAUUAGCUUGUUGGCGGCGUAAUGGACCACCAAGGCGACGAUCAGUAGCUGGUUUGAGAGGAUGAUCAGCCACAAUGGGACUGAGACACGGCCCAUACUCCUACGGGAGGCAGCAGUAGGGAAUUUUGCGCAAUGGGCGAAAGCCUGAACCGCAGCAAUGCCGCGUGAACGUAGAAGCCCUUCGGGGUGUAAAGUUCUGUCAGUGGGGACGAAUUUUGACGGUACCCACAGAGGAAGCACCGGCUAACUCCGUGCCAGCAGCCGC